This is a long non-coding RNA of Scophthalmus maximus (turbot), 3206 nucleotides long. RefSeq lists it as uncharacterized. The transcript has 2 exons. The record is from RefSeq and is a predicted model, not a curated record. NCBI's taxonomy places the organism in Eukaryota, Metazoa, Chordata, Actinopteri, Pleuronectiformes, Scophthalmidae.
GCACAGCAACUCGACACGAACACAAGUUUGUGAUAACUGCCAUGUUAGUGACUACAACACAGAAAGCCCCCUGACGUGACAGCAGGGUGAAAUGCACAAUUGCAAAAACCCAAACUUAGAGAUUGUGCAGCUGCUUCUGAGGACACUGGCCCGGAUCGAGCCUUUUUUUCAGCUCCAUGUCACAACAGAACAACGGCUGUUUUAAAGGGACGGGGGAAACAACGAGCACAGUCUCACUCGUACAAAGAUCGACCGCUUAAUUCACAACUAUAACGCAGGUCACAGUCAGGUGAUUACAGCUGGGAGAUGCUUCCACCACAGCCGUCCGCCUCCGACAGAGUAGACCUGCUGCCUGCCACAGUUUAACGGAAGGAAAGGGACUUUUUAGGACUUACGCUAAACGAGAAGUGCCUCACUGACACACAUUGAAGGUUAACAGAACUCGUGGCGGUGUGAGUAGAAAUUUACCCGGGACUGGAAAAAGUGAGGUCUGUUCAAGAACACCAGGGCUGCGAAGUGCAUGAGCGGUGCCCGGAAACGGCCCAUGUGGGUGAGGCUAACGGCUAACGGCUAACGGCUGCCGUUGCUCAGACAGCUGAUCUUUCACUGCGCGUUCUGGCCUUCACUUUUAACUGCAACUCUAACAAACAUGUUUUGAAGAAAAGAAAAAAACAAGCUGUCUCCAAUAUCAAAUAUCCAAUGUUCGUGAACGUCGCGGCUGUGUGGGAGCAACUGACGACAUCAGUGCAAUUCCCGACGACAUUGCGGUGGAAUCGCUGCCUUUUGCGCAAAGCUAAAGUUAAACUGUAUUUUGGGGUUGAAUUCAUAUGAAUAAGCCGGUGAAGUUGCAUGAAAUGUAAAAAAAAAAAGGGAUGAAGAAUGAAAAUUGUAGAUUCCAAUAAGGGUCAUUUGUAGUUGAAGAAUGAAAAUUGUAGAUUCUAAUAAGGGUCAUUCGUAUUUUUAGUUUGUGAAAUUAUGUUCCCAAAUAAUUUCACAACCUGCCUAUAUUACUUUUUAGUCGAUGUAAAAAUGUGUACUUGAAUUUGUGAAUUUGUGAAGCAAAAAAAGUCUAUGGUAAAAACAACACAAACACAAAUGUGUCAUCGCAUUUGUGCACAAAUAUUUUGAUCAGUUUUACAAAGUUUAUGGAGGAGACACAAAUUCACAAGCUCCAAAUUUCAAGCACAUAUUUUGACCCUGACUGUAGCUCAGCACUGACCCUCCAAUCAGAAUAAAUCUUGAUGGUGGGUUAUUGUUUUAUGUUUACAAUAUAUUGUGUUGCAAAUAUAAUAAAACAAGAUAAUAAAAGGGGGACAACAAUUUAGCAUUUAAAUGGCAAUCCUGAAAUACCCUUUCAUUUAUUCAGUUUAGCUCAAGCACUAAUAAUUGUUAAAAAUUACCCAGCUGAGUUGCUCUCCUCUCGCCCUCUUUGUCCAAUCAGAGGCAAGGUAGGGGCAGGUCUCUGGCCUUGAUUGGACAGUUUGAUUUCUUCUGUCUGGAGUGUCAGGUCGACUUAGAGGUACAGGGUCAAAAUUAAUGUUUGUAAUUAAUGUUUGUAGCUUGUAACUUCGGUGUCACAACAAGGUUGAUAGGCUUACACAAAUCCAUAGACACAGAAUUAACAAAAAAAGUCAUGUUGCUCUUUGACAUAACAUCAGACUACAGACAACUGCAAAAAUGGGUCUGUCCUCAGGCUCAUUUUCAGUUUCUGAUGACAGGAAAGUAGGAAAAACAGUUUAAAAAUUAUAACAACCUCUUUCUGAACAAUUUCUUUAACCACAAGACGCACAUUGAGGCUAUCCCAUGUGAUGUCCCUUUGAAAACUAAUGUAAUGGCUAAUGUCAUAUUGUUUUACUUCCCUUCACUGAGCCCCUCCUGUCGACGUUCACCUUCCAUUUUGAGAAACAUAAGACAGACUAAAAGCUUAUCACCGAGAUUAUGCUCAUCUAUUGGAGCUGAUUUUUGGCUACAAGUUGUGGCUAUAAACAAAUAAUAAUUGGUAAGUAAUGAAUCCUAAACAGGGAGACUUAAACUAAAGGCUACUCUUUUUAUUUAGGUUGGCUUAAUUUUUGGUGUGUCUUCCCCAAAACUGUCACAUGAAGGCACAUUUUUAUAUAAAUAUGCAGCACAUGUGUAUAACAAUUAAUUGUGUUUGUGUUGUAAAAAAAGUUGUACAGCCAUGUUGACUUUGCCUGUAUCAGCGUCAUCCCUGCUCUCGUCAACAGUGUUGCUAAGCAACUGUGGGUUCCUCACAGUCACUAUGGUAACCUGAACCAGUGUGUUUCCAAUCAAAUGUGCAGUUGAUAUUCUUAAUUUUUGUCCCUUCUAUGUCAGAGAAAAGAACAUAUUUUGAAUGUGUAUCACUACAACACAGCCUUUGAACCUUGACAACACAUUAAAGCUGUUAUGUUCAGCCACGCUUGUAAAAAUAUGCGCCCACACAAUGUAGGUGGCAAAAAAUGUGGGAAACCUUUUUUGUAAUAAACUGUAUGUAAAUUUGUAAAAGUGCAAUUUUGAAUGUGUGAUUUUUGUUUGUGUAUUUUAUUAGUUAUGUUCCAUUAGCAGAUUAACGCCACAAACUGUGUGUUGUAUUUCUCUUUUUUCUCCACUAAGUGGGGCAGUUUUACAGCGAUUCGGGUUGUGAGCUGUUUUUCAAAGUCAUUUCUACAGGUGAACAAAUGUGACUGUUAGGAUUAAUAAUUGACCUGUUGAUCAUAUUUGGAAAAUUUCAAAAUAACAACCCUCUGCUGGUUAAGGUGACUACUAUGUCGUACUGCAAGUAAUCUGAAAAUGUAACACCCAUCUCUUUUUGUCUAUAUAUCCAUUUUGACUUAUUUUACAUUGCCUGGGUUAUUUGUUUUAUCUGUCAUCCUCUUGCAACAUUUGUCCUUUCAGACUUCUUGACCUGAAACCGUUUCCAAGAAUUAUCCCCUUUGCUCUUUUACCUGUUCACUCUUAUCUCUGUAUUACCAGUUUGUUUAUUACAUUAAUCUGUUGUCUAAUAAUUACCAAUUGUGGAUGUCAUUGGCUUAUUUUCCCGGAAGACACUGAUAUGUUGCCAUAGAAACAAAGUUAUAAUUACUGUCCCACAUUUUAUCCCACCACUCAAAACACUCAGCACAGUGGAGAAUAGCUUCGGGGGGAAAUGACCCUAAUUCUAUAAAGUCAUUACAGCAAUAAAUAAAAAAAAGUUUUAUUAAUUUUCA